This 649-nucleotide ribosomal RNA is filed under the name uncultured Actinomycetes bacterium. RNAcentral describes it as "bacterial SSU rRNA". It matches the Rfam family "Bacterial small subunit ribosomal RNA", at positions 229 to 888 of the family's 1533-position model. Lineage: Bacteria; Bacillati; Actinomycetota; Actinomycetes. The record is from RNAcentral.
AUUCGCGGCCUAUCAGCUUGUUGGUGGGGUGAUGGCCUACCAAGGCGACGACGGGUAGCCGGCCUGAGAGGGUGUCCGGCCACACUGGGACUGAGAUACGGCCCAGACUCCUACGGGAGGCAGCAGUGGGGAAUAUUGCACAAUGGGCGCAAGCCUGAUGCAGCGACGCCGCGUGGGGGAUGACGGCCUUCGGGUUGUAAACCUCUUUCAGUAGGGACGAAGCGCAAGUGACGGUACCUACAGAAGAAGCACCGGCCAACUACGUGCCAGCAGCCGCGGUAAUACGUAGGGUGCGAGCGUUGUCCGGAAUUACUGGGCGUAAAGGGCUCGUAGGUGGUUGCGUAAGUCGGAUGUGAAAACUCAGGGCUUAACUCUGAGACGCCAUCCGAUACUGCGCUGACUUGAGUCCGGUAGGGGAGCAUGGAAUUCCUGGUGUAGCGGUGGAAUGCGCAGAUAUCAGGAGGAACACCAAUGGCGAAGGCAGUGCUCUGGGCCGGAACUGACGCCGAGGAGCGAAAGCAUGGGGAGCAAACAGGAUUAGAUACCCUGGUAGUCCAUGCCGUAAACGUUGGGCACUAGGUGUGGGGUCUUCUAACGAAUUCCGUGCCGUAGCUAACGCAUUAAGUGCCCCGCCUGGGGAGUACGGAAU